GACGAACGCUGGCGGCGUGCUUAACACAUGCAAGUCGAACGGUAAGGCCCUUCGGGGUACACGAGUGGCGAACGGGUGAGUAACACGUGGGUGAUCUGCCCUGCACUUCGGGAUAAGCCUGGGAAACUGGGUCUAAUACCGGAUAGGACCACUGCCUGCAUGGGUGGUGGUGGAAAGCUUUUGCGGUGUGGGAUGGGCCCGCGGCCUAUCAGCUUGUUGGUGGGGUGAUGGCCUACCAAGGCGACGACGGGUAGCCGGCAUGGGAGGGUGACCGGCCACACUGGGACUGAGAUACGGCCCAGACUCCUACGGGAGGCAGCAGUGGGGAAUAUUGCACAAUGGGCGCAAGCCCGAUGCAGCGACGCCGCGUGAGGGAUGACGGCCUUCGGGUUGUAAACCUCUUUCAGCACCGACGAAGCGCAAGUGACGGUAGGUGCAGAAGAAGGACCGGCCAACUACGUGCCAGCCGCCGCCGUAA
Molecule: ribosomal RNA, 478 nt
Filed under: uncultured bacterium
Lineage: Bacteria
Description: partial 16S ribosomal RNA
Rfam family: Bacterial small subunit ribosomal RNA
Source: RNAcentral